UUAAAAAAAAUAAGAGCUUUAUUCAGUGUUGAGAAUGAGAGACACACAUACAGUAAGGAUAGAUGCCUUACCCUCACAGAUUUAGAAUGUAUACACAAAAAAACACCCAACUGAAUACAAUCAUGCACCCCAUUGGUUGUGCCAUAGCUGUGCAUCAUUAGACACAAAGUCAUUGCCAGGUUUAAGCUUAUCCUGGUUGAGAAUGGUUUCCAGCUCCGGCUGUUUGCAGUGUAUGAAUGCUUUAUGUUGAAAUGUGAUUCCGAUCAGCGAUAUACAGUUAGUGACUGAGUAUUGUAGGAGUAGUAGUCCACAGCUGUCCAGCCAUACCUUUAGUUCUCUCAGAUUUUUUACAUUGUAAGCUAAUGCUAUAUGACAUUCAUUUAAUGGGCGAAUUUGGGGUUGUGCAAACAAUACUCUUAAAACAGGAUUGUUUUACACUUGUACAAAACUCCUCACAAAUUGCAAUAACACCCAGCUUAUUCUUGGUGCAGAAUAACAUGUUCUCAUACUAAUUAAGUUACAGAGAGCACAUCUUGCCAUAAUAGUUAUAGGAAUGUGAAAAUAGUAUAACAAAUACAAUAAAUAAUAUCUCAAUAUGGAUAAAAUAUUACCACUGAUGAUUGUACUAUGCUGGCAAAGUGAGGAGUGGGAUAUACAGCAGGAGGGUUGGGGUGGCUGAGUAUUGAGAAUAAGUACGGGUAUCAGUGAGGAGAGGGGGGACUUUGCAAGUAUGUGGGCAAUGGAGCAUGUAAGAAAGAUGAGGAUAGUGAUGCAGUGAGUCCAGGCAAGGGAGUGAUGCAUUACACAGGUGAGAGCAGACUGGCACUGAAAAAGGAGAAGGCAGUGAUGCAGUAUGGGAAAUGCAGAUUGCAAUGCAGUGAAAAGACAUAGGUCAGUUGAAAUAUGCCCUAUGCAUAGAUGAGUAAAGGAUGCCAGAAAAUGGUUAAGGCUGGUACUGCAUUUAUUUUAAAUGAGGAUAUCAAAUGCACUGAGAAGAUGAGGGCAGCAAAGCAGCAAGCAAUGGGGAUUGUAGUAAAGCAGAAAGGGAUAGGAAGUUAUUGGCCGUACAGGUCAAUAGAGCCUUGCAAAGGACAGAGUCUGGUGUUGGUCUUGCCCUGCACAAAUGCUAGACUAGGGCUUUAAUAAGAGUGAUCUGAGCAGAGGGAAAGGUGGCAAUAUGUCAAAUAUUACAGAAUACUGAAAAACAUUACAGAAUACUGAAAAGUGAUUAGGAAUUAUACUCAAGGGCACCAAUUGCAUUAUUGAAAUUUUUAU
This is a non-coding RNA of Pelobates cultripes (western spadefoot toad), 1275 nucleotides long. Lineage: Eukaryota; Metazoa; Chordata; Amphibia; Anura; Pelobatidae. The record is from the annotation of a GenBank genome assembly.